UGCGUAGGUGGUUAUUUAAGUCCGUUGUGAAAGCCCUGGGCUCAACCUGGGAACUGCAGUGGAAACUGGACGACUAGAGUGUGGUAGAGGGUAGCGGAAUUCCUGGUGUAGCAGUGAAAUGCGUAGAGAUCAGGAGGAACAUCCAUGGCGAAGGCAGCUACCUGGACCAACACUGACACUGAGGCACGAAAGCGUGAGGAGCAAACA
This 207-nucleotide ribosomal RNA is filed under the name uncultured bacterium. RNAcentral describes it as "partial 16S ribosomal RNA". It matches the Rfam family "Bacterial small subunit ribosomal RNA", at positions 568 to 774 of the family's 1533-position model. The record is from RNAcentral.